AACGCUGGCGGCAUGCCUUACACAUGCAAGUCGAACGGCAGCAUGGGUGCUUGCACCUGAUGGCGAGUGGCGAACGGGUGAGUAAUGCAUCGGAACGUACCCGGAAGUGGGGGAUAACGUAGCGAAAGUUACGCUAAUACCGCAUAUUCUGUGAGCAGGAAAGCGGGGGAUCGCAAGACCUCGCGCUUCCGGAGCGGCCGAUGUCGGAUUAGCUAGUUGGCGGGGUAAUGGCCCACCAAGGCGACGAUCCGUAGCUGGUCUGAGAGGAUGAUCAGCCACACUGGAACUGAGACACGGUCCAGACUCCUACGGGAGGCAGCAGUAGGGAAUAUUGGACAAUGGGCGCAAGCCUGAUCCAGCCAUGCCGCGUGUGCGAUGAAGGCCUUCGGGUUGUAAAGCACUUUUGGCAGGAAAGAAAUCGUGUGGGUUAAUACCCUGCGCGGAUGACGGUACCUGCAGAAUAAGCACCGGCUAACUACGUG
RNAcentral lists this ribosomal RNA (482 nucleotides) under uncultured bacterium. RNAcentral describes it as "bacterial SSU rRNA". It matches the Rfam family "Bacterial small subunit ribosomal RNA", at positions 32 to 507 of the family's 1533-position model. The record is from RNAcentral.